Molecule: ribosomal RNA, 488 nt
Filed under: uncultured bacterium
Lineage: Bacteria
Description: partial 16S ribosomal RNA
Rfam family: Bacterial small subunit ribosomal RNA
Source: RNAcentral
GACGAACGCUGGCGGCGUGCUUAACACAUGCCAGUCGAACGGAAAGACCCUGCUCUUGCUGCUCUCUCGAUUGCCGCACGCGUGAGUAACACGCGUGGAACCUGUCCUUAUCUUUGUGAUAACUUCAGGAGACUGCGGCUCAUACCCGGUAGGAUCUCCUGCUCCGUGUUGUGGGUUGGAAAGUUUCGGCUUUUGUGUAUCGACUCGCGGCUUAUUAGCUAGGUGGUAAGGUAGUGGCGUUCCAAGGUUAUGACGGGUAGCCGGCCUGAGAGGGUGACCGGCCACACUGGAACUGAGACACGGUCCAGACUCCUACGGGAGGCAGCAGUAGGGAAUCUUCCGCAAUGGGCGAAAGCCUGACGGAGCAACGCCGCGUGAGUGAUGAAGGUCUUCGGAUCGUAAAACUCUGUUAUUAGGGAAGAACAAAUGUGUAAGUAACUAUGCACGUCUUGACGGUACCUAAUCAGAAAGCCACGGCUAACUACGUG